This 253-nucleotide ribosomal RNA is filed under the name uncultured bacterium. Its description in RNAcentral is "partial 16S ribosomal RNA". It matches the Rfam family "Bacterial small subunit ribosomal RNA", at positions 524 to 776 of the family's 1533-position model. The record is from RNAcentral.
UACAGAGGUCUCAAGCGUUGUUCGGAAUCACUGGGCGUAAAGGGUGCGUAGGCGGCGGGGAAAGUCAGAUGUGAAAUCCGGAGGCUCAACCUCCGAAUGGCAUCCGAUACUCCCUCGCUAGAGAUUUGUAGAGGAGCUUGGAAUUCUCGGUGUAGCAGUGAAAUGCGUAGAUAUCGAGAAGAACGCUCGCAGCGAAAGCGAAGCUCUGGGCAAAUUCUGACGCUGAUGCACGAAGGCUAGGGGAGCAAACGGG